Lolium perenne is the source of this 345-nucleotide non-coding RNA. The record is from RefSeq and is a predicted model, not a curated record. NCBI's taxonomy places the organism in Eukaryota, Viridiplantae, Streptophyta, Magnoliopsida, Poales, Poaceae.
GCGGCGCAGCGUGGGUUCUGCUCCUUCUCCCCGGCCAACUCUGGUCGCCGUCCGAGCUCUAGCCGGAGGAGGAGUCCCGGAUAAAUCCGUGGAGAUAGCUCACUCAGUAGUACGCCAGGCGCUCAAACACAUGCCCUCAGCGACGUUGUCAUCAGGUCUCAUAUAUCUAAGAUAUACAUGUCUAAUAGUCUACUAGGAAGCAUGGCAGCCUGCCAACAUGUGGUGGUGACGUAGCACAAGUGACCGGCUGGACCAUGCUCCACCGGCUGCCACCCAUGCGUAGGUGCACGAGGGAGUUGAAGCCUGAGAUAGAGAGGUUUAGAGGGAGGAGAUGAGCGGCUGGCG